ACCCGCUGGAACUUAAGCAUAUCAAUAAGCGGAGGAAAAGAAACCAACAGGGAUUGCCCCAGUAACGGCGAGUGAAGCGGCAACAGCUCAAAUUUGAAAUCUGGCCCCCGGGCCCGAGUUGUAAUUUGCAGAGGAUGCUUCGGGCGCGGCGCCUCCCAAGUCCCCUGGAACGGGGCGCCUGAGAGGGUGAGAGCCCCGUAUGGUUGGACGCCUAGCCCUUGUGAAGCUCCUUCGACGAGUCGAGUAGUUUGGGAAUGCUGCUCAAAAUGGGAGGUAGACCCCUUCUAAGGCUAAAUACCGGCCAGAGACCGAUAGCGCACAAGUAGAGUGAUCGAAAGAUGAAAAGCACUUUGAAAAGAGGGUUAAACAGCACGUGAAAUUGUUGAAGGGGAAGCGCUUGUGACCAGACCUGCGCCGGGGCGAUCAUCCGGCGUUCUCGCCGGUGCACUCGCCCCGGCUCAGGCCAGCGUCGGUUCGGGCGGGGGGAGAAAUGCGCCGGGAACGUGGCUCCCCCGGGAGUGUUAUAGCCCGGCGCGUCAUGUCCCCGCCUGGACCGAGGUUCGCGCUCUGCAAGGACGCUGGCGUAAUGGUCACCAGCGGCCCGUCUUGAAACACGGACCAAGGAGUCGAGGUUCUGCGCGAGUGUCUGGGUGCCAAACCCGCACGCGCAAUGAAAGUGAACGUAGGUGGGAGCUUCGGCGCACCACCGACCGAUCCUGAUGUUCUCGGAUGGAUUUGAGUAGGAGCGUAGGGCCUCGGACCCGAAAGAUGGUGAACUAUGCUUGGAUAGGGUGAAGCCAGAGGAAACUCUGGUGGAGGCUCGCAGCGGUUCUGACGUGCAAAUCGAUCGUCAAAUCUGAGCAUGGGGGCGAAAGACUAAUCGAUCCA
This 888-nucleotide ribosomal RNA is filed under the name Zanclospora jonesii. RNAcentral's name for it is "eukaryotic LSU rRNA". It matches the Rfam family "Eukaryotic large subunit ribosomal RNA", at positions 23 to 942 of the family's 3401-position model. Lineage: Eukaryota; Fungi; Ascomycota; Sordariomycetes; Chaetosphaeriales; Chaetosphaeriaceae. The record is from RNAcentral.